AUUGAACGCUGGCGGCAGGCCUAACACAUGCAAGUCGAACGAGUGGCGGAAGGGUGAGUAAUGUCUGGGAAACUGCCUGAUGGAGGGGGAUAACUACUGGAAACGGUAGCUAAUACCGCAUAACAUAGGAUGUGCCCAGAUGGGAUUAGCUAGUCGGGGGGGUAACUGCUCACCUAGGCGACGAUCCCUCGCUGGCCUGAGAGGCUGACCAGCCACACUGGAACUGAGACACGUUCCAGACUCCUACGGGAGGCAGCAGUGGGUAAUAUUGCACAAUGGGCGCAAGCCUGAUGCAGCCAUGCCGCGUGUAUGAAGAAGGCCUUCGGGUUGUAAAGUACUUUCAGCGGGGAGGCGUUACCCGCAGAAUAAGCACCGGCUAACUCCGUGCCAGCAGCCGCGGUAAUAC
RNAcentral lists this ribosomal RNA (406 nucleotides) under uncultured bacterium. Its description in RNAcentral is "partial 16S ribosomal RNA". It matches the Rfam family "Bacterial small subunit ribosomal RNA", at positions 30 to 526 of the family's 1533-position model. The record is from RNAcentral.